Molecule: transfer RNA, 74 nt
Filed under: Pseudorhodobacter sp. PARRP1
Lineage: Bacteria; Pseudomonadati; Pseudomonadota; Alphaproteobacteria; Rhodobacterales; Paracoccaceae
Rfam family: tRNA
About the family: Transfer RNA (tRNA) molecules are approximately 80 nucleotides in length. Their secondary structure includes four short double-helical elements and three loops (D, anti-codon, and T loops). Further hydrogen bonds mediate the characteristic L-shaped molecular structure. tRNAs have two regions of fundamental functional importance: the anti-codon, which is responsible for specific mRNA codon recognition, and the 3' end, to which the tRNAs corresponding amino acid is attached (by aminoacyl-tRNA synthetases). tRNAs cope with the degeneracy of the genetic code in two manners: having more than one tRNA (with a specific anti-codon) for a particular amino acid; and 'wobble' base-pairing, i.e. permitting non-standard base-pairing at the 3rd anti-codon position.
Source: Rfam by way of RNAcentral
CGGGGCGUAGCGCAGUCUGGUAGCGCAUCUGGUUUGGGACCAGAGGGCCGGGGGUUCAAAUCCUCUCGCCCCGA